UAGGGAAUCUUCGGCAAUGGACGAAAGUCUGACCGAGCAACGCCGCGUGAGUGAAGAAGGUUUUCGGAUCGUAAAACUCUGUUGUUAGAGAAGAACAAGGACGUUAGUAACUGAACGUCCCCUGACGGUAUCUAACCAGAAAGCCACGGCUAACUACGUGCCAGCAGCCGCGGUAAUACGUAGGUGGCAAGCGUUGUCCGGAUUUAUUGGGCGUAAAGCGAGCGCAGGCGGUUUCUUAAGUCUGAUGUGAAAGCCCCCGGCUCAACCGGGGAGGGUCAUUGGAAACUGGGAGUCUUGAGUGCAGAAGAGGGGAGUGGAAUUCCAUGUGUAGCGGUGAAAUGCGUAGAUAUAUGGAGGAACACCAGUGGCGAAGGCGGCUCUCUGGUCUGUAACUGACGCUGAGGCUCGAAGGCGUGGGGAGCAAACAGG
This 429-nucleotide ribosomal RNA is filed under the name Gemmatimonadota bacterium. RNAcentral describes it as "Gemmatimonadetes bacterium partial 16S ribosomal RNA". It matches the Rfam family "Bacterial small subunit ribosomal RNA", at positions 355 to 776 of the family's 1533-position model. Lineage: Bacteria; Pseudomonadati; Gemmatimonadota. The record is from RNAcentral.